Long non-coding RNA from Poecilia latipinna (sailfin molly), 761 nucleotides. RefSeq lists it as uncharacterized. The transcript has 2 exons. The record is from RefSeq and is a predicted model, not a curated record. NCBI's taxonomy places the organism in Eukaryota, Metazoa, Chordata, Actinopteri, Cyprinodontiformes, Poeciliidae.
AAACAAAAGAGAAUAACAACUCGUUAUUAUUGCUUUUGUACACAUGAAAUUCAGAGGCUGAUAAAAUACUGGAGAUGCUAAUUAAAAAUAAACAAGCUGUUUUUGAAAUUAAACUGAAAUCCAGGGAAUCUACGGUCCAGGAUUUCAAAUUUUAGUUUAUUCUUAUUUCUUUACAUAUUUUUAAAAAAUGUAUACAGAAGUUUAUAUUUGGUCUCUCAUUCAGAGAUAAAAAGUAAAAAAUUAGAAGCUGGGAUUUUAAGCCCCUCUGCUGGAACAGAACAGAACUUCCCUUUCCACAGCUCUGCAGAGUGACCUGCCCAUUGUCCAGACUGGAGGUCAGAGAGCAUUACAACCAGAGCAGCCAUUUUUGCCUUGGGUACAGCAAAAUAAAAUGUGAGUAGACCUACAAAGGCAACACAAUCCUUCAAAACUAACAGCUUAUUUUUAACGUUUUAGCUAUAGGAAAUUUGCUUAGAUAUUUAAGUAAAAGAAUAAUAGUUAUAUUUUUGUUAUAAGGUUUUAAAAUCAAGAAAAUCGCAAAAUUCUUACAUAAAUAAAUAAUUUUUCUUUAACUGAUUGUUCAAAUUUAAUAGAAAAUGACAUAAAAUGACUAAGACCUAACAGGCCCACACCCCCAGUUUAGGCCAACAUUCUGUUAUCCUCCCAUCGGCUGCUACACCAAACGAUGACCAGUCCUUCCCCAGGAGUUAUCUUAAAACAAUUCUCUGUUUUCCUAAAAAAAAAAAAAAGAAUGAAAAAAA